Molecule: ribosomal RNA, 253 nt
Filed under: uncultured bacterium
Lineage: Bacteria
Description: partial 16S ribosomal RNA
Rfam family: Bacterial small subunit ribosomal RNA
Source: RNAcentral
UACGUAGGGGGCGAGCGUUGUCCGGAUUUAUUGGGCCUAAAGCAUCCGUAGCCGGUUCUACAAGUCUUCCGUUAAAUCCACCUGCUCAACAGUUGGGCUGCGGAGGAUACUAUAGAGCUAGGAGGCGGGAGAGGCAAGCGGUACUUAGUGGGUAGGGGUAAAAUCCGUUGAUCCAUUGAAGACCACCAGUGGCGAAGGCGGCUUGCCAGAACGCACUCGACGGUGAGGGAUGAAAGCUGGGGGAGCAAACCGG